This is a long non-coding RNA of Harmonia axyridis, 639 nucleotides long. RefSeq lists it as uncharacterized. The record is from RefSeq and is a predicted model, not a curated record. Lineage: Eukaryota; Metazoa; Arthropoda; Insecta; Coleoptera; Coccinellidae. The transcript is spliced from 3 exons.
UUACAUAAUCAAAAAUGAAACUGCGAAAUAUAGCCAUGAUCUUCUAGGCAUUUUACAUAUCUCUCUAUCAUGUUAUGAACCUUGUUGGGUAAGUCGAUAUUGUAUAUAGUAUUUAAUGUUUAGGAGUCCAGUGUAUUUCACACACAGUUAUUUCUCAUACAUUAAUAAAGACUACAAAUAGAACAAGGUGCGUGUUUUUCUUGUUGUAUAACAAUAAAUCUUCAACUGACGCUUGGACAUCAAACAUUGAUUGUUUUCUCUAACAGAACUGGAGUAAUACUUCAAAAACAAACUACCGAGAGAAACCAAGUUGAGGAAGUAUAUGAAAUGGAUCCAAAAAUGGUAGUAUAGUGAAACAUCUUUGCUGCCUUACUGAUGAUUCCGUCAGUGUUCCUAGAAGGAUACACCACAAUUCUCUGAGAGAGAGAGCAACUUCGAAAUCGUCUGACAACGCCUCGCCAAAUUACAUUGACGCAGACUAAAGUUAUUGGAAAAAGUCGGUUCAUUAAAAAAAUCACAGCUGGCAUCAAAAAGUUGCGACAUCAGAUUGAACUAUCCUGUCAAACCUUCAAAAUACAACUAGGUCUUAUCAAAUGAGUACGUAAUUCCUUCAUGCGAUGAUAUACUUCUACAUUGAAA